AUUGAACGCUGGCGGCAGGCCUAACACAUGCAAGUCGAACGAGUGGCGGACGGGUGAGUAAUGUCUGGGAAACUGCCUGAUGGAGGGGGAUAACUACUGGAAACGGUAGCUAAUAACGCAUACCAUCAGAUGUGCCCAGAGGGGAUUAGCUAGUUGGUGGGGUAACGGCUCACCAAGGCGACGAUCCCUAACUGGUCUGAGAGGAUUACCAGUCACACUGGAACUGAGACACGGUCCAUACUCCUACGGGAGGCGGCAGUGGGGAAUAUUGCACAAUGGGCGCAAGCCUGAUGCAGCCAUGCCGCGUGUAUGAAUAAGGCCUUCGGGUUGUAAAGUACUUUCAGCGGGGAGGCGUUACCCGCAUAAGAAGCACCGGCUAACUCCGUGCCAGCCGCCGCGGUAAUAC
RNAcentral lists this ribosomal RNA (406 nucleotides) under uncultured bacterium. Its description in RNAcentral is "partial 16S ribosomal RNA". It matches the Rfam family "Bacterial small subunit ribosomal RNA", at positions 30 to 526 of the family's 1533-position model. The record is from RNAcentral.